AGUCACAUCCUUUGAGAGCUUGUGUUAAAAAACACCAUGCAAACGCCAGGACUGCUGUUGCAGAGGCAGAAUUCCUUAGGAAAAGCAGGAAGAACCGUCGUUUGCAUCCCUUGGAGCUGCUGGGUGUUUUCUAAACCGGGUUCACUCCAUCAUGUCAAACAUGCUGCUCUUCCAGAAGUGCUUUUUCUGCCCAAAACUGCACCUUAACGAUUUAAUUGCAUGGAAAUUGCUGAAAUCUGUAGUUGUUCACAGGCAUUUUCCAAGUCCUCGGGUGAACGGGUGCAGGCUGCUUGUUGGAAAUAAAAAUCCUUAAGUUUUAAUCUUCCUUUGGAACCAUGGAAAACCUCAGGCAGCUGAGCAUGACAAACGUUGGAGGCAAGACUUCAGAAAUUCCAGUGCUCACAGAAAUAUUUCAUCCUGCUGAAUGCAGCUUUGGAUAUUUUCUGGUUUGUGUAACCAGAGUAGAAGCAGAAGCUCCAGGCGAGAGAAACAACAAGAACCUGAACUAAGGUGAGUAAAACUCCCGGUACCAGCAAAGUGCUCUUGUAUUUCCAAGAGAAGCAGCGCCGGUAUCAAUCCUCCUGAAAUGAGACAUCAGCCAGCCAAUUUCAAGGCUUGUCUUGCAGAAAAUGGGGCACAAGAUUCAGCAGCUGAGCAGUCCUGCUGACCUCAAAUUUAAUUUGCUCCGAGGUGAUAUAAGAGCAGGAUAAUACGACGGUUGUUG
This 724-nucleotide long non-coding RNA is filed under the name Cyanistes caeruleus (blue tit). RNAcentral describes it as "lncRNA (ENSCCEG00000003938.1)". The record is from RNAcentral. Lineage: Eukaryota; Metazoa; Chordata; Aves; Passeriformes; Paridae.